GUCACCCGGGGAGCCUUCAGGAGCGGCCGAGGAGUUGCUGCAGACCCUGCCGCGAGGGCAUCGGCCUCCAGGCGCGGCCAGAUGAGCUGGACGUUCUUAGGAGAAUGCUGAGCAAGGGGCCACAGUCGGUGACUCUAGGAAACUGCCAGCAGGCGAGGCGGCCUUCCUCGGCACCGGACGUGGAUUCUCGUCCCCGGACAUCCGAGAGAUAAGUCGAGGGCUAGGAC
This is a long non-coding RNA of Vidua chalybeata, 227 nucleotides long. RefSeq lists it as uncharacterized. The transcript has 3 exons. Lineage: Eukaryota; Metazoa; Chordata; Aves; Passeriformes; Viduidae. The record is from RefSeq and is a predicted model, not a curated record.